This is a long non-coding RNA of Microtus ochrogaster (prairie vole), 1063 nucleotides long. RefSeq lists it as uncharacterized. The record is from RefSeq and is a predicted model, not a curated record. NCBI's taxonomy places the organism in Eukaryota, Metazoa, Chordata, Mammalia, Rodentia, Cricetidae.
GUCCUUUUACGUCGGCGAGCUGAGAGUCUGCUCUUGUCUGUAGGUGAUUUCGCGGUGUGGACGCAUGGGCGAAAUAACGUGGCGCGGGGUUAAGUUGGAGGCUGCUGUUUUGUGGGACAGCCUCGGGGGCUUGAGGUUACCGUGUCGUUGAAGGCUUGCUCUGGGAAAUGCGCAUCUGCAGCGAGAGACUGCAGGAUUGGAGUGUAGGCCCAAGGAGGUUGCAACCGGGCGGCAUGGCUGGUCUCUGGGGUCUGGUUCCACAGCCCCAGCACUGGUGGGUUCUGACACAACACUGACGUGCGGAGGAAGGGUCCAGGAGUUAGGAGCUGUUCGGAAUGUAUUGGUGUUGCCCAAGAGUCGACUGAUUAAAAAAGCAAUCCUUUCACAGGAGGGAUGACGCCAUCUUUUUCCGGGUCUUCAGAGCGGUUGCAAGGAGAUGCCCAGAUGGAGAAAGGCCCGAAUCAUCCAAGAGAAUUAGUAACAAAAAAUAAUUUGUUUAAGACCUGACUCAUUGAAAAGCAGUGAAAGCACAGAGAUGCCAGCUGCUUGCAAAGUACCUAGCGCUCCUCGGAGGAUCGAGUGGCCAGAGACACAAGCCUUUGCUGGCUGAAUGAGAGAAUUGGAGGUGGUGAAAAGGCAGACAAGAAGAUGUGCAGUGUUUGACUAGCGUGUUUAGAGUUGAGGUCUUUGCACAGCUCUGGCUGUCCUCACUUCUCUAUCUUACCUCCUAAACAAGGACUGAUUACCUGCGGAGCCAUCUGCUAUACUAGUUUUUAUUGAUUAGAAUGUGGGAUCAUGCUUACAGAAAGUUGUGUGCAAUCAGUGGAUGGGAGUGUUUAGUCGUUGGUCCUGUUGGGUUUAAAAUGGAUGGAAUUAAAGCUGGGUGAAAAUUUUCAGUGGUUUCAUGAGAAUCUUUGCUGGGAUUAUGACACUGUCUAUAGUGAACAAAAUUCAGUGUAAACAGGACAGCAUAUGAUGUGGCCUGUAAGAUUUGUUAUAUGUCAUAUUUCCUUACCCAGUGGGGCUUAACUAAAUGCUACAAUAAAUGUUCAGUGGCAACAAC